UCGUCCAUCUGUUAGCUUUAUCAUGAAUCUGACUUCCCCUCUGGCCAUAAGAUGGUAGGUAGCAGCAAGAGGUACAGAAUAUCAUUCCGUAUUCAUAUCUCUUGAAAGAAGAAGCUGACUUCUGGCCUCCUGUCUUAAGGACAGGGAAGAACUUUCUCUGAAGCCUCCAGCAACUCUCUCCCAAACCAAAACUAGGUCAUAUGCCCAUUCCCAAAGCAUUCACUGACAAAUGGAUUUAAUUCUUUUGAUGGCUGAGAUGAAAUGGUUUUCAUUUCUGAAAGUGGAAAUGGAGUAAUUUCCCCCUAAAUCUUAUGAACAAAACUGGAAUGUCAUUGUGAAGAAAAGAAGAAUGGAUGCUAGACCAUUCACUGCAUACUGGCAGACUGAUUGAAGGUGGCUCAGUGCUCUCCAACUUAAAGGAAAGAAAUGGAUGAGAGGAGCUGGCUUAAUACCAUCACUAAUGUACAACCUAUUUGAAGCUUCUUGAAGAAAGUAUCAGUCCAGAAGAUCUAUGUUGUUAA
This is a long non-coding RNA of Prionailurus viverrinus (fishing cat), 521 nucleotides long. RefSeq lists it as uncharacterized. The transcript is spliced from 2 exons. Lineage: Eukaryota; Metazoa; Chordata; Mammalia; Carnivora; Felidae. The record is from RefSeq and is a predicted model, not a curated record.